Molecule: transfer RNA, 72 nt
Filed under: Camelus bactrianus (Bactrian camel)
Lineage: Eukaryota; Metazoa; Chordata; Mammalia; Artiodactyla; Camelidae
Also listed under: 2 other names
Rfam family: tRNA
About the family: Transfer RNA (tRNA) molecules are approximately 80 nucleotides in length. Their secondary structure includes four short double-helical elements and three loops (D, anti-codon, and T loops).
Source: Rfam by way of RNAcentral
GGGGUUAUAGCUCUGUGGUAGAGCUCAUGCUUGGUGAGCACAAGGUCCCGGGUUCAAUUCCUAGUGCCUCCA